UGUAGUGAUGUAACAAAGAAUGCAACCAAGAUUCCAAGUCAGAGAUUGAGUGAGGUGUCCAAGUAUCUUUCGAGAUUGUGUCCAAAAUCUUGUGUGUAUUGUGUGUGAGUUGUCCUUUGAGAGUGAUAGUCCAUGUUGUUGUGUGUACACAAAUCUAGUGUACAAGUGUUUGUAAUCAAUAAAAGUACAUUUGUUUGUUGUGUUCAAUUCUACAUUUUCUAAGGGAGUUGCUAUUCGCAGCCUUUUAUUUUCUCCCAUAACUCGUUAAAAAUUUUCAAUUAUACUCGACAGUUAGUUAUCGAAAUUGAGAUAUAUUUUCAGCAUCCAAUUACCGAAAUAUAUUAUUUUUUUCAACAGCUAUUUACCGAAAAUGUAUGUUCAGCAGUUGUUUAUCGAAAGUUGAACAUAUUUUCGACAUGUAGUUACCAAACUAUAAUCUUGUUUUCAAUAGCUAUUUACCGAAAUAUUAUGUAUGAUUUUCCACAACCAUUUACCGAAAUGUAGUGGAUUAUGGAAGAAAAUAAAAGGCUGCGAAUAGCAGCGCCCUUUUCUAAAUAUGAUUGUACGAGGAUCUCUAGUGAUUUCUUGGACCCAUAAUUUGAAAUCCAUGAUCGGAGAGAAAAUUACAAACUUAGAAAAGUCAAAAUCAGUAUUCCGUGUUGGAGAAUCAGAAUAGGAUAUAAGCUUUCAAGUUUUAUUUAUAAAAAAUUAAAGUUUGGCCACUUUUUUUUAGGUUUGAUUUCAUCCCAACUUUGUACCCAAAUAUAAAUAGGCUUGGUUAUGGUACAUAAUGACUUCUUUACUCCAAAUCUGACAUUUCUUCUGCGCUCUCUCUCACGGAAGCUCUUCCCUCCAUCACAACCCACAUCAGACACCGAACUCGAAAACCACCUCCACAAGCUCGACCUUCUCCUCUGAUUCUUCUGCUUCAACCAGACCACUCCGCUCGGCUCCUCCCUCUCCUGGCCGCCUUCGCCGUCGUCGGAAUUACUCUCCCAUUCCUCGUAACUGAAUUCUCCUACUGCUCCGAGUGUGAGAAAGUACCAAAUCACAGUGUUUGUGCUCGAAACCCUCGUCGCUCAGGUCCUCUUCGUUGCGUUCUCUCUUUUCUGCAUCUCGCAUCAACCUGAGGAAGAACAGCGGGGUGGAUGCUGUUCGUCGAUCACUAAUACCGUGGUCGAUCACAAUCACGUGGUCCAGUUUUGCAACUUGUACGUAUAUACAAUAGAUCCAUGUAUGCAUGUUUAUAUUAAGAGGCCGUUCGGCUAAAUAAGUCACUCGGCUUAUUUUUUUAUUUUUAUUAAAAAAAUUUCGUAUUUAUUAGUUUUUGUCAAUUUUUUUGGAAUUAUUAUUUCUUCAUGAAAAGAGGAAUCUAAAAAGUAAAAAAUUACAAUCGAAAUUCAAUUUUUUUUAAUAAAGACGAAAAAAUUGACUUAUUGGCUUAUUUUUGUUUUUAUUCAAAAAAAUUAGAUUUCAAUCGUAAUUUUUUAUUUUUUAGAUCCAUUUCGUCAUGAUUAAGCAAUAAUUUCCAAAAAAAUUGACAAAAACUAAUAAAUACCAAAAAAAAUUAAAUGAAAAUAAAAAAAUAAACCACUUGACUUAUUUAGCUGAACGGCCCCUAAGUAGCCAAACUUAGCUGCCACAGAAGAAGUUUCGGAAAGCACAGUGGUGACCAUUGGAAUUGCAAAGAGCAAGAAGUAUGGGAUAUGCUCCGCAAAUUGAUGAAUAGCAGCUGCCCAAGUAAACAGAAAAUUACUUUCAACCGUCAUUCUCGUCUGGAUUUAUUGAGAUAAAAAGAAGAAUUUGUUCGAUAGAUGAGAUUCUUGUUCGUAUGUGAACUAUGUGAACUGUAUAUGCGAACAUUAUAUUUUAGUGUGUGUUGGGGCUAUGUAAACUAUGUGUAAGACCAAUGUAAAUUGUGCAUUUUAAUGUGUGGUAAGACUGUGUGAACUGUGUGUAUUAAGA
This is a long non-coding RNA of Rhododendron vialii, 1965 nucleotides long. RefSeq lists it as uncharacterized. The transcript is spliced from 2 exons. Lineage: Eukaryota; Viridiplantae; Streptophyta; Magnoliopsida; Ericales; Ericaceae. The record is from RefSeq and is a predicted model, not a curated record.